GACGAACGCUGGCGGCGUGCCUAAUACAUGCAAGUAGAACGCUGAAGAGAGGAGCUUACUCUUCUUGGAUGAGUUGCGAACGGGUGAGUAACGCGUGGGUAACCUGCCUUGUAGCGGGGGAUAACUAUUGGAAACGAUAGCUAAUACCGCAUAACAAUGGAUGACACAUGUCAUUUAUUUGAAAGGGGCAAUUGCUCCACUACAAGAUGGACCUGCGUUGUAUUAGCUAGUAGGUGAGGUAAUGGCUCACCUAGGCGACGAUACAUAGCCGACCUGAGAGGGUGAUCGGCCACACUGGGACUGAGACACGGCCCAGACUCCUACGGGAGGCAGCAGUAGGGAAUCUUCGGCAAUGGGGGCAACCCUGACCGAGCAACGCCGCGUGAGUGAAGAAGGUUUUCGGAUCGUAAAGCUCUGUUGUAAGUCAAGAACGGGUGUGAGAGUGGAAAGUUCACACUGUGACGGUAGCUUACCAGAAAGGGACGGCUAACUACGUG
Molecule: ribosomal RNA, 497 nt
Filed under: uncultured bacterium
Lineage: Bacteria
Description: partial 16S ribosomal RNA
Rfam family: Bacterial small subunit ribosomal RNA
Source: RNAcentral